RNAcentral lists this ribosomal RNA (800 nucleotides) under uncultured bacterium. RNAcentral describes it as "bacterial SSU rRNA". It matches the Rfam family "Bacterial small subunit ribosomal RNA", at positions 8 to 789 of the family's 1533-position model. The record is from RNAcentral.
AGAGUUUGAUCAUGGCUCAGGACGAACGCUGGCGGCGUGCCUAAUACAUGCAAGUCGAGCGGACGAAUCGAAAGCUUGCUUUUGAUUCGUUAGCGGCGGACGGGUGAGUAACACGUGGGCAACCUGCCCUGUAGACGGGGAUAACACCGAGAAAUCGGUGCUAAUACCGGAUAACACGAAAUGUCGCAUGACGUUUCGUUGAAAGACGGCGCAAGCUGUCGCUACAGGAUGGGCCCGCGGCGCAUUAGCUAGUUGGUGAGGUAACGGCUCACCAAGGCGACGAUGCGUAGCCGACCUGAGAGGGUGAUCGGCCACACUGGGACUGAGACACGGCCCAGACUCCUACGGGAGGCAGCAGUAGGGAAUCUUCCGCAAUAGACGAAAGUCUGACGGAGCAACGCCGCGUGAGCGAAGAAGGCCUUCGGGUCGUAAAGCUCUGUUGUUAGGGAAGAACAAGUAACGCAGUAACUGGCGUUACCGUGACGGUACCUAACGAGAAAGCCACGGCUAACUACGUGCCAGCAGCCGCGGUAAUACGUAGGUGGCAAGCGUUGUCCGGAAUUAUUGGGCGUAAAGCGCGCGCAGGCGGUUCCUUAAGUCUGAUGUGAAAGCCCACGGCUCAACCGUGGAGGGUCAUUGGAAACUGGGGGACUUGAGUGCGGAAGAGGAGAGCGGAAUUCCACGUGUAGCGGUGAAAUGCGUAGAGAUGUGGAGGAACACCAGUGGCGAAGGCGGCUCUCUGGUCUGUAACUGACGCUGAGGCGCGAAAGCGUGGGGAGCAAACAGGAUUAGAUACCCUG